GCCAGGCGUGGUGGAACAUGCCUGUAAUCCCAGCAACUUGGGAGGCUGAGGCAGGAGGAUUACCAGCCUGGACAAUUUAGCCAGACCCUAAGCAAUUUAGUGAGACCCUAUCUCAA
This 116-nucleotide small RNA is filed under the name Marmota monax (woodchuck). Lineage: Eukaryota; Metazoa; Chordata; Mammalia; Rodentia; Sciuridae. The record is from RNAcentral.